AUUUGGUUCGGUGCCUGGUUACGAUGCGUUGGCGGUUCGACAUGCAACUCAACGUAAGCGGUUACGUGCCGAGUUACGUGUUAGUGUUAGUCCGCGGCAAACACUCAACGGCAACGGGUCAGAUACGCGCGUGUCGGCAAUCGGCAAAAAACGGCGAAAGAUACAAAAACAUUUCAGAGACCGAAACCGAGGAGCAUUGAUAAAAAUAUUGAGUCAAACCAAGUGCAGACCGAGACACUGAGGCUGCGUGUGUAUGUGGAUUUCGAAUUGAAUUUGAUUGGAUUUGGUUUCGAUUCAACUCGGUGCAUGAAACAAAUACAAAAAAAAAUACGAAUGUUUCAUAAAUAAAAAAAGAUUAAGAUAAAAAAUUUUAAAUCAAAAUAAGAUACAGAUACGGUACGCGAUACGAAAUCAAAUAAAUUAUUAAUUUAUACAAUUUAUUGUCGUAGAGAAUUAUGAACAAUUUCGAAUUGCAAACGAAAAGUUAAAAGAAUUUCGUCAGAUCGUGAAAGGACUUUCGAUUUCGGAUUGAUAUUGAUUGAUUUUGAUGGAUUGAUAAGACAACAUUUGUGCAGUGAAUAAAAAGCAAACUUUGCAGAAACCACACAACAACAAUAAUAAUAACAACAACCACAACAGCAACAACAAUUGCAACAACAGCAACUGAAAUUCAAAAAAGGGAACAACGUCUUCUCUCCGUCCAGCAAACAACCGACAUCGUCUGUCUACGCCUGCUACACAAGUAUAUAUACUAUAUAUAUGCUCCUACCUAUAUAUAUAUGCAUAUAUAAAAAACGAUCGAGAUCGAUUUAGUGUGUGCGUGUGCAAUAUACAUAUGUACUUGCUGCGACGAUCCUCUAUAUAAUCGACAGCACACACACACUCAAACAGAUACAGUUAUAAUUCGCGUAUGUGUGUGCGGGUAUCAUAUAUAUACAAAUAUAUAUAUCUAGGCAGAGUAGAAGAUAUAUGCGUAUGAAGCUGAACGCGGCGCACUCUGCUCUGCUUUUUUUCUUUUAUAAUUACUUUUGUCUAAAAUUAGAAAACGUGUGUGUUGUGUUCGUCGGGUGUGUGUACUACGGUUGCGUACGCGCGUGUGUUUGUGUGUUGUGUGUGUGUGCGUGUGUACGUGUGUGUGUGUGUGCCAGAAAACACUCGACAGUGAAUCAGGCAACGACUACGACUACGACUACGUCUAUAUAGACAGAUCGCGUAUACGGCGAGACAAACACUAACAUUAUCGAGGGCCUGAGAAAGCAAAAAAAAUUAAAUAAAAACACUGAGAGUGUAUCUCACAGAUACGCGCGCAGCGAGGAUUACAAUUACAACAGCAGCAGCAACAACAGCAACAACAUUGGCAACAACGACAGCGACACGAACGAAGCGUCGCAUCGCACGCACGAAGCAGACGAAGCAACCAAUCGGCAACAGCCGACGGCAGCCGAACGUGCCAACGAAUCGCGCACGAAACGCGCGCGCGUGAAAAACGUCGUGAAAAACGCGCAAACAGCAACAACAACAACAUUGUUAGAAAUCAAAAAAAAUAAAUAAAAAAUACAAUAAAAUUCAAAAAACUUCAAACUCAACGCCACGCGACGACCUUAAGUCUACGUCCAUCAAAGAGGUUUGGGGGGCGUGGCCAGAGCGUCAGUGCGUCGACUCCAAGGCGCUCAAGUGAAACGCAGCGAAUAAAAUAAUUCUAAGCAGCAGCAACAUAAAUAAAUGCAACAGCAACGAACGAGCGAAUGAACGAAUAAACAACAAUAAUAACAACAAUAAAUACAAAAUACAAGCGGCAAUUUAUUUAUUUAAAGAUAAACGUAUACAUUUUUGCAUUGCCAAAGCAGACGAUCGGGCCAAAAUGAGUCACCAGCAACAACAGCAACAGCAACAAGCACAACAGCAGCAGCAAGAGAAACAGCAACAACAACAGCAACUGACAGCAAAUUUCUCAAAGUGCUUAUAAAUAUUAUGCUAGAAAUUGUCAAACAUUGACACAAACAUACACACAAAA
This is a long non-coding RNA of Drosophila innubila, 2014 nucleotides long. RefSeq lists it as uncharacterized. The record is from RefSeq and is a predicted model, not a curated record. NCBI's taxonomy places the organism in Eukaryota, Metazoa, Arthropoda, Insecta, Diptera, Drosophilidae. The transcript is spliced from 2 exons.